UGGUUCUGGCAUCGAUGAAGAACGCAGCGAAAUGCGAUAAGUAAUGUGAAUUGCAGAAUUCAGUGAAUCAUCGAAUCUUUGAACGCACAUUGCGCCCCUUGGCAUUCCGAGGGGCAUGCCUGUCCGAGCGUCAUUACACCCUUCCAGCCUGGCUGGGUGAUGGGUUCCGUCCCCCCUCCCGGGGGGGGACAGACCUGAAAGGCAGCGGCGGUCCCGAGGGUCCCCCCAAGCGAGAAGACUCACUGUGCGGGGGAUCCCCGGCGGACUGACCUUGUUGGCGCGCUCCAUCCAGCGCCCAUUUUCACAGGUUGACCUCGGAUCAGGUAGGGAUACCCGCUGA
RNAcentral lists this unclassified non-coding RNA (340 nucleotides) under uncultured fungus. RNAcentral describes it as "partial contains 5.8S ribosomal RNA and internal transcribed spacer 2". The stretch from base 1 to 133 matches the Rfam family "5.8S ribosomal RNA", at positions 22 to 154 of the family's 154-position model. Lineage: Eukaryota; Fungi. The record is from RNAcentral.